AGAGAGAGACAUGCGCGCAUAUCAAUAAGCGGAGGAAAAGAAACUAACAAGGACUUCCCCUAGUAACGGCGAGUGAAGCGGGAAGAGCUCAAAUUUGAAAUCUUAAAGGGUUUCCCUUUACGAAUUGUAGUUUAAAGAAGUGUUUUCUGUUGAGGUUUUGGUAAAAGUUCUUUGGAAUAGGACAUCAUAGAGGGUGAGAAUCCCGUAUUUGACCUUUACUUUCAACUUUGUGAUACACUUUCAAAGAGUCGGAUUGUUUGGGAAUGCAGUCCAAAAUGGGUGGUAAAUUUCAUCUAAAGCUAAAUAUUGGCGAGAGACCGAUAGCGAACAAGUACCGUGAGGGAAAGAUGAAAAGAACUUUGAAAAGAGAGUUAAACAGUACGUGAAAUUGUCAAAAGGGAAGCGUUUGACACCAGUGUUGUUUUUCUGAAAAUCAAUUAAAGAACUGUUUAUGCUAAGCUGUUUAGACUUUAUCAGCUAACUGUUUAGUUUUGAGCUUUUCUUUAAUGCACUUUUCAGUUAACAAGUCAACAUCAAUUUCUUUUGCUGUAAAAAAGCUUGAGGAAGGUGGCUUGAGAUUCGUCUUAAGUGUUUAUAGCCUCUUGCCUAUGCAGUCGGAGAGAUUGAGGUCUGCAGCGUAGAUCCUUCGGGGCUAAAUGCAUUUGUGCUAAGUUAUAGCAUUUUAUAGACAACUUGUUGACUAUGAUUUGUCUUGUAGCUUACUCGCUUAUGUUAUUUUACCUACGCUUAGGAUGUUGAGCGCAUGUCUCUCUCU
RNAcentral lists this ribosomal RNA (775 nucleotides) under uncultured Neocallimastigales. RNAcentral's name for it is "partial large subunit ribosomal RNA". It matches the Rfam family "Eukaryotic large subunit ribosomal RNA", at positions 23 to 616 of the family's 3401-position model. Lineage: Eukaryota; Fungi; Neocallimastigomycota; Neocallimastigomycetes; Neocallimastigales. The record is from RNAcentral.